UACGUAGGGUGCGAGCGUUAAUCGGAAUUACUGGGCGUAAAGCGUGCGCAGGCGGCUUUGCAAGACAGAUGUGAAAUCCCCAGGCUCAACCUGGGAACUGCAUUUGUGACUGCAAGGCUAGAGUACGGCAGAGGGGGAUGGAAUUCCGCGUGUAGCAGUGAAAUGCGUAGAUAUGCGGAGGAACACCAUUGGCGAAGGCAAUCCCCUGGGCCUGUACUGACGCUCAUGCACGAAAGCGUGGGGAGCAAACAGG
Molecule: ribosomal RNA, 253 nt
Filed under: uncultured bacterium
Lineage: Bacteria
Description: partial 16S ribosomal RNA
Rfam family: Bacterial small subunit ribosomal RNA
Source: RNAcentral